UACGUAGGUGACAAGCGUUGUCCGGAUUUACUGGGCGUAAAGAGCGCGCAGGCGGUCGUUCAAGUCGAGUGUGAAAGCCCCCGGCUCAACUGGGGAGGGUCAUUCGAUACUGAUCGACUCGAAGGCAGGAGAGGGAAGUGGAAUUCCCGGUGUAGUGGUGAAAUGCGUAGAUAUCGGGAGGAACAUCAGUGGCGAAGGCGGCCUUCUGGUCCAGUACUGACACUCAAGUGCGAAAGCGUGGGGAGCAAACAGG
This 253-nucleotide ribosomal RNA is filed under the name uncultured bacterium. RNAcentral's name for it is "partial 16S ribosomal RNA". It matches the Rfam family "Bacterial small subunit ribosomal RNA", at positions 524 to 776 of the family's 1533-position model. The record is from RNAcentral.